CGAAAGGAGAUAUGCAAUUGACUCUGAUCCCAUAUUGCCCCAACUCAACCCCGAGAUUCUAAGUCAGUCGGACAACAGCAUGUUUCGACGCCGAGCACAUGAUCGUAACCGCCCGGGAUCCCCGCAUUGCUGAACAUCACAUGGAGCUUACCGUAGUUCUUCACUGCACUGUCCACCGUGUUCUUAACAUCUGUCUCGCUCCUGACGUCGCAGUGGAUUAGGAAACUGUCUGGUUCUGGUCCGAUCUAAUAUCCUUGCAUACAUACAGGCUGAGCUGAUCCUGGACAUCGGCGGUCACCACUUUCGUGCCGCGCCUUGCGACCAACCUCACGGUGCUCUCUCCGAUGCCACUGGCUCCACCAUUUUUCAGAGUCACCUUGCCCCCCAAACUGUACUCGAAGCUUGCGCACUCUUUUCAAUAUACGGUGCAAAAAGGUUGAGUCGUUCCAUGGCAUUUCCUAUGGUAAAUUAGCGUGUAAUCAACAUGUAGAAGACUCAGAGACUUUAAACCAAAAGAAAGUAAAAUUACCUCUCGGCAAUGGGAGCUAACAGAGGAGCCUCUUUCAUCUCUGAGCUUGAUUUGUGAUUUCCCAAGACAAUUGCUCUCAGAUUAAUGGUCAAUUAAUACAGCUAAAGGAAGAUCAGUUCAUUGGCUUAAAAUAUAAGAAAUUAUUCAGAGAAAGAGGUACAAUGAGAUACGCCUUCGCUUGGUAACGAAACGCUUUGGGUUCGAUUUUCAUCAGUCGGACUAUAGGAUGGACAGAGGCGGAUAAUCAGCAGGGUGGUGGACAUGCAAGGGUGCGGAGCGAUGACGAAGCAGUCCAAGACCGGGGCUGAUGCUGGAUUCUAUGAUUUAGUGGAGCACACACUCCAGAAGGAUAUGGACUUGGAUCGAAAGGCGAGAGGGAUACAGGAUCUUCGUGAGAUGACAAAAAAAGGUCCUCCACUACUACUAGGGAGAUUUCCUGGAUGAACUGCCUGGACUUCAAUGUGGCCCUCAACCUCAGCGGGCUACAGAGGCAGGAGGUAAAAGAAGCUCAAGCUGUUGGCCCGAAAGUUCAAGAUGACCAACCGCCCAGGGGGGGGUGCAGUAUACCUCCUGCACCCAGCCCUCCACUCAGCUGUGUGGAGCGAUGCUGACAUGGACGAGCUUCUUUUAGGGAAGAUCAAUGUCAGGCAGGCAGGGGUGUCAAGGCUAAGUUCUUCUUGAGUAUGCUUAAGCUCUGCGAGUCCGCUGAAAUUUUUGGAGGGAGAGAUUGGUGGUAAAAGAGAGAGGGUAGUGCUUGGGGAAGGAAGUCUGUGUGAUAUCAGGGGAAACGAUUCAACAACAAUUCUCAGAGGCUUGUGGAGAGGGGAUUUAUUUGGUUGGAGCUUCACGAAUUUAUUACUCUCGACGUUCACCUCAACCCUUCAGUUACUCGCCAAGCUAUAGGCCAAGCUUCAGGCCUGGGCAAAAGAAGAAGGUCUAUGCCUAUAGAUUGGUCGCAGCAGAUUCACCCGAGGAGGGGGAGGACCACGACACAUGCUUCAUUCAAGAAGGAGAAGAUCACAAAGAUGUGGUUCGAGUGGAAUGAGAAUUGGGGGGCUCGAGAGCUCGAGGUUGAGGUGGCUGAGUGCGGCAACGAAUUCCUCGAGAGCCCCCGAUGAUGAGGGAAGAUGUGAAAGCUUUGUACAAAAAGGUCAGUCACUUUAUUUCUUUGCCCCUUCCACUUACUAACUUCGUCACGUUCUAACUUUCAGGCGAGCUUCCAGAAUCAAAGGCCUCGCAAUCGACCCUUUUACCGGCAACUCUUAGAAGAACUUGUAUUGGUUUGUAGUGAUAACAGGAUCAGCUUUACGAUGGCUUCUUGAAAUGUAAAGAUUCUUGCUCUCCUUUUAGAUGUUCUGCCACAAACUGACAUUGUGCUCCCUUGGUAUCGCUAAUCCCCAGCUGUGAUUGGCAUUUUUGCUUAUCUUCUAAUAUCGUACUAUGACAGUCAUUGGCUUCCCCUCUGGACAGCGUCCAGUUGAACAGCAACAUGGAUGGAAAUCGAAAUUAUGCUGAAAAUCUCUCCCCUAACCCUCUAUCUGUGUUUUUCAGUCAGGGCGUUGGGUUUGGAGUUUCUAAUGCUGAAGAUACAUUUUUUUUUACCUUUUUCCAUCUGUUUACAGGCUAAAUUUAUCAAACUCUCCCUGUUUAACCUAAAUUUUACCGUUUCCUUGAUACAGUCCAGGCCCAAAGUUUCGGCAUAUAUUGUAUACGCUAUACAUGUAUGUAUCUAAUCUCAUCUUUAAUUACUAAGACGCUAACCUUCCCGAAUAGAGCUUCUGUACACGAUAACUCGAGUUUUAUGUGUUUCCUCAAGAAAACUACACUAUUAUUGGAUCGUACUCAUCUUUCCAAUGGCUCAAAGUAUCUUCUCAGGCCACAAAAUCAUCCGGCAGCUGUCGGCUGGGACCGAGCCUGUGGUGCUUAUUCUGAGGAUUGCAGAUGACCUCGAAUUUUGUUGCCUCGUCCGGAUUGAAUAGCCGAUGGUCCAAUAGAAUUUAUGAACCUCUCAUGGGAACAAAUCCAUUAUACAUGAUUCCCGAGACCUUACUACUCUUUAUCUUUUAAUCUUGUAAUUCUGUUUUAUCUCUUUCUGAGUUAAAAUGUCCAGUUGGAAGAAUAAGGGUGUAUACACACAGGAAGUUCAAGACGAGCCAAGUUAAAACCUGAAACUCCAGUCCAUACCAAGCUAAAAACUCCGAGAUUUUUGGGAUGCAAAUGUGACAGAAGAUGAUCAAAAAUUCCCUCAUGACUCUAUCAGCCAAAAAAUAAAAUAAAAAAGAAGCUCAAGACAGUAUAUAGAUAAUAAUUAAAAAAAAAAAAA
Molecule: non-coding RNA, 2852 nt
Organism: Punica granatum (pomegranate)
Lineage: Eukaryota; Viridiplantae; Streptophyta; Magnoliopsida; Myrtales; Lythraceae
Source: RefSeq, a predicted model, not a curated record